This is a long non-coding RNA of Panicum virgatum (switchgrass), 1121 nucleotides long. RefSeq lists it as uncharacterized. Lineage: Eukaryota; Viridiplantae; Streptophyta; Magnoliopsida; Poales; Poaceae. The transcript is spliced from 2 exons. The record is from RefSeq and is a predicted model, not a curated record.
UGAGCUCUGAUUCAGCUGCUUGGAGGAGCGUGCAAUGUGCGGGCAUGUGUGUGUGGGAUGAUGGGACGGGAGAGGGAGAUCUUGCAGCUAGGGUGGGCACUUUGACGAGCUGGGGGUUUUGGAUCGGAGCCACCUACUAUUUAUACGGGGGCAUAGAUCGAACAAGUCCCCUACUUCAUUCUCUCAUCAGCAAAGCUAGCUAGCUCUCCUCCCAGUCCCAGCUCAACUCAAAGCAAGCAAUGCAAGCAAGCGUCCGUUCUUCAUUCUGUCUCUGUCGUCCGUGCAUUGCAUUGUCCUUUCUGCCCCCCAUCUACGUACCUCUCUUCUAAUCUUCCUCCUCUCGUCGACCUCUGCCUCUGUAAUCGUCUGUGUACAAGAGAAAGGAGCCAUUGGGUUUGGGUGAGCGGGGAAUAGGAGUUACUUUGUUCUCUUCUUUUGAAGCCAAGGCAUGCAUGCAUGAUGCAUGCACACACAGACAAGCUAUCUGCUUAUAUUAGCUUUGUUUCUGUGCUGCCAUGGCGCCCUGCAACUGCAAGUUCAGUUAGUUCAGGGAAGAUAGAGCAUGCAUAUGGCAUGGCAUGGUAUGUCAAUGUGGCGUGGAUCGAUGUUGGAGAUGGUAGGUGCGCCAAUGCGUUGGGAAGCAGCAGCAGCAGGUCGAAAGAGAAUCGCAGAUGCUCUUGACUUGCACGCGCGUGGCUUCUUCACCAUCCGUCAUUUAAGCAUGCUGCACAAGGAGGAUCCGGGGUACGGUGGCCGGGCACAAUGAAGCAUCGUCUGUUUUCGAAGCCAAGACGGCAACAAGAAAAGAAGAUCGAAGGGGAUUCGCAAUGCCAGGACUGCAAGUAGCUAGUGUCGUUGAUGAGAGCGUUAAGCUAGCAGUGCCAGUUGCUAACAAUAAUAAGAGGUCAUGCAAUGCAAGGUCUGCUAUGAGUGCAUACUGCCUCCUCCUGCUGCAUAGAUAUAUUAUUUGUAGCUCGAUGCAUGGGAAUUGAAGCUGAGACAAACUAUGUGUACGUGUGCUUGGUUUAGCGAGCUGACAUGGAUAUACAAUUUUCGGACACGUGUGUAUGUAUGUGUGCUCGAGGCAUAUACUUAAGUUUACAUAUGUACGUUUUGGUGGA